GAACGGGUGAGUAACACGUGGAUAACCUGCCUCAAGGCUGGGGAUAACAUUUGGAAACAGAUGCUAAUACCGAAUAAAACUUAGUAUCGCAUGAUAUCAAGUUAAAAGGCGCUACGGCGUCACCUAGAGAUGGAUCCGCGGUGCAUUAGUUAGUUGGUGGGGUAAAGGCUUACCAAGACGAUGAUGCAUAGCCGAGUUGAGAGACUGAUCGGCCACAUUGGGACUGAGACACGGCCCAAACUCCUACGGGAGGCUGCAGUAGGGAAUCUUCCACAAUGGGCGCAAGCCUGAUGGAGCAACGCCGCGUGUGUGAUGAAGGCUUUCGGGUCGUAAAGCACUGUUGUAUGGGAAGAAAUGCUAAAAUAGGGAAUGAUUCUAGUUUGACGGUACCAUACCAGAAAGGGACGGCUAAAUACGUGCCAGCAGCCGCGGUAAUACGUAUGUCCCGAGCGUUAUCCGGAUUUAUUGGGCGUAAAGCGAGCGCAGACGGUUGAUUAAGUCUGAUGUGAAAGCCCGGAGCUCAACUCCGGAAUGGCAUGGGAAACUGGUUAACUUGAGUGUUGUAGAGGUAAGUGGAACUCCAUGUGUAGCGGUGGAAUGCGUAGAUAUAUGGAAGAACACCAGUGGCGAAGGCGGCUUACUGGACAACAACUGACGUUGAGGCUCGAAAGUGUGGGUAGCAAACAGGAUUAGAUACCCUGGUAGUCCACACCGUAAACGAUGAAUACUAGGUGUUAGGAGGUUUCCGCCUCUUAGUGCCGAAG
RNAcentral lists this ribosomal RNA (764 nucleotides) under uncultured Leuconostoc sp. Its description in RNAcentral is "bacterial SSU rRNA". It matches the Rfam family "Bacterial small subunit ribosomal RNA", at positions 100 to 851 of the family's 1533-position model. Lineage: Bacteria; Bacillati; Bacillota; Bacilli; Lactobacillales; Lactobacillaceae. The record is from RNAcentral.